This 253-nucleotide ribosomal RNA is filed under the name uncultured bacterium. Its description in RNAcentral is "partial 16S ribosomal RNA". It matches the Rfam family "Bacterial small subunit ribosomal RNA", at positions 524 to 776 of the family's 1533-position model. The record is from RNAcentral.
UACGAAGGGGGCGAGCGUUGUUCGGAAUUACUGGGCGUAAAGGGCGCGUAGGCGGCCGAUCAAGUCAGAUGUGAAAGUCCUGGGCUUAACCUGGGGACUGCAUUUGAUACUGAUUGGCUUGAAUUCGGGAGAGGAUAGCGUAAUUCCCAGUGUAGAGGUGAAAUUCGUAGAUAUUGGGAAGAACACCGGUGGCGAAGGCGGCUAUCUGGACCGACAUUGACGCUGAGGCGCGAAAGCGUGGGGAGCAAACAGG